This 268-nucleotide long non-coding RNA is filed under the name Bos mutus (wild yak). Its description in RNAcentral is "lncRNA (ENSBMUG00000019612.1)". The record is from RNAcentral. Lineage: Eukaryota; Metazoa; Chordata; Mammalia; Artiodactyla; Bovidae.
CGCCAGCGCUCGACAGAUGGAGGGUGGGUCCUGUCUCCGAGUCGCCGGGAACCGUCCAGCAUCUUCUCACGUCGUCCAGUUUGACCUGCAGCCGACAUUCCUGGCGCCCCGGGAUCCAGCUUCCAGACUCUGUACAGAGUCAUCUGAGUUUGCACAAAAGAUGAUCUGAAAAGCCGUCUCUGUGUCAGAUGCAGAUGAGCUGUUGUCCUAUGUGGAGUAAUGAACUUCUGUCCUGGGAAUAAAAGGUGUGGCUCGUGGGUUGGGAACA